CCUACGGGUGGCUGCAGUGGGGAAUAUUGGACAAUGGGCGAAAGCCUGAUCCAGCCAUGCCGCGUGUGUGAAGAAGGCCUUCGGGUUGUAAAGCACUUUCAGUGGGGAAGAAAGCCUUGGGGCUAAUACCCUCGAGGAAGGACAUCACCCACAGAAGAAGCACCGGCUGAACUCCAUGCCAGCAGCCGCGGUAAUACGGAGGGUGCGAGCGUUAAUCGGAAUUACUGGGCGUAAAGCGCGCGUAGGCGGUCUGAUAAGCCGGUUGUGAAAGCCCCGGGCUCAACCUGGGAACGGCAUCCGGAACUGUCAGGCUAGAGUGCAGGAGAGGAAGGUAGAAUUCCCGGUGUAGCGGUGAAAUGCGUAGAGAUCGGGAGGAAUACCAGUGGCGAAGGCGGCCUUCUGGACUGACACUGACGCUGAGGUGCGAAAGCGUGGGUAGCAAACAGGAUUAGAUACCCGAGUAGUC
Molecule: ribosomal RNA, 466 nt
Filed under: Vreelandella stevensii
Lineage: Bacteria; Pseudomonadati; Pseudomonadota; Gammaproteobacteria; Oceanospirillales; Halomonadaceae
Description: partial 16S ribosomal RNA
Rfam family: Bacterial small subunit ribosomal RNA
Source: RNAcentral